Molecule: long non-coding RNA, 530 nt
Organism: Solanum tuberosum (potato)
Lineage: Eukaryota; Viridiplantae; Streptophyta; Magnoliopsida; Solanales; Solanaceae
Exons: 3
Source: RefSeq, a predicted model, not a curated record
CUCUCCAAUGUCGCCGCUGGGUGCUUUCACUAACUCCACCUUCCUCCUUCUUAUGCGAAAGGAUCAUUAACAUCUUCCUCCUCUUUAUACCACAAUUCAUCUUUCUCAGCUCGCAAAAGAUAUUUGCUCCAGUGGAUGAAAUGGUUAUCAACGUGGUUUUGAUAGAGCGGCAAAAGGUCAUCUCCUCUACUGUAGCUUCGAAUAGAAAAGGAAAACCUCGUAAAAAUCACCGGAUUCAAGCUUUGUCCAUGUGAUUUUCAAUACUAAUGGCCUCCAAAAUAUCCUCCAUUUCUCUUUCAGUCUGAAAAGUGUCUUUUUGCAGAUAUUUGCUCCAGUGGAUGAAAUAGUUACCAACGCGGUUUUGAUAGAGCGGCAAAAGGUCAUCUCCUCUACUGUAGCCUCAAAUAGAAAAAGAAAAACUCGUAAAAAUCAUAAAAUUCAAGCUUUGUCCGUGAGAUUUUCACUACUAAUAUUUUCAAAAACAUCCUCCAUCUCUCUUUUAGUCUUAAAAGGUAACCCCAUCUCCCUUC